UACGGAGGGGGCAAGCGUUGUUCGGAAUUACUGGGCGUAAAGGGCUCGUAGGCGGCUUGCUAAGUCAGACGUGAAAGCCCUCGGCUCAACCGGGGAACGGCGUCUGAGACUGGCAAGCUGGAAUCCGGGAGAGGGAUGCGGAAUUCCAGGUGUAGCGGUGAAAUGCGUAGAUAUCUGGAGGAACACCGGUGGCGAAGGCGGCAUCCUGGACCGGCAUUGACGCUGAGGAGCGAAAGCCAGGGGAGCAAACGGG
This 253-nucleotide ribosomal RNA is filed under the name uncultured bacterium. Its description in RNAcentral is "partial 16S ribosomal RNA". It matches the Rfam family "Bacterial small subunit ribosomal RNA", at positions 524 to 776 of the family's 1533-position model. The record is from RNAcentral.